UACGUAGGGUGCAAGCGUUGUCCGGAAUUAUUGGGCGUAAAGGGUGCGUAGGCGGGUCUUUAAGUCAGGGGUGAAAUCCUGGAGCUCAACUCCAGAACUGCCCUUGAUACUGAGGAUCUUGAGUUCGGGAGAGGUGAGUGGAACUGCGAGUGUAGAGGUGAAAUUCGUAGAUAUUCGCAAGAACACCAGUGGCGAAGGCGGCUCACUGGCCCGAUACUGACGCUGAGGCACGAAAGCGUGGGGAGCAAACAGG
RNAcentral lists this ribosomal RNA (253 nucleotides) under uncultured bacterium. RNAcentral describes it as "partial 16S ribosomal RNA". It matches the Rfam family "Bacterial small subunit ribosomal RNA", at positions 524 to 776 of the family's 1533-position model. The record is from RNAcentral.